Molecule: ribosomal RNA, 253 nt
Filed under: uncultured bacterium
Lineage: Bacteria
Description: partial 16S ribosomal RNA
Rfam family: Bacterial small subunit ribosomal RNA
Source: RNAcentral
GACGAACCGUGCAACCGUUAUUCGGAAUCACUGGGCUUAAAGGGCGCGUAGGCGGACAGGUAAGUCAGGGGUGAAAGCCCACGGCUCAACCGUGGAAGGGCCUUUGAUACUGCCUGUCUUGAGGGAGGUAGGGGCGUGCGGAACUUCCGGUGGAGCGGUGAAAUGCGUAGAUAUCGGAAGGAACACCGGUGGCGAAGGCGGCUCCCUGGACCGGUACUGACGCUGAGGCGCGAAAGCGUGGGUAGCAAACAGG